CCUACGGGUGGCUGCAGUGGGGAAUAUUGCACAAUGGGCGCAAGCCUGAUGCAGCCAUGCCGCGUGUGUGAAGAAGGCCUUCGGGUUGUAAAGCACUUUCAGCGGGGAGGAAGGCGUUAAGGUUAAUAACCUUGUCGAUUGACGUUACCCGCAGAAGAAGCACCGGCUAACUCCGUGCCAGCAGCCGCGGUAAUACGGAGGGUGCAAGCGUUAAUCGGAAUUACUGGGCGUAAAGCGCACGCAGGCGGUCUGUCAAGUCGGAUGUGAAAUCCCCGGGCUCAACCUGGGAACUGCAUUCGAAACUGGCAGGCUAGAGUCUUGUAGAGGGGGGUAGAAUCCCAGGUGUAGCGGUGAAAUGCGUAGAGAUCUGGAGGAAUACCGGUGGCGAAGGCGGCCCCCUGGACAAAGACUGACGCUCAGGUGCGAAAGCGUGGGGAGCAAACAGGAUUAGAUACCCUUGUAGUC
RNAcentral lists this ribosomal RNA (465 nucleotides) under uncultured Klebsiella sp. RNAcentral describes it as "bacterial SSU rRNA". It matches the Rfam family "Bacterial small subunit ribosomal RNA", at positions 338 to 795 of the family's 1533-position model. The record is from RNAcentral. Lineage: Bacteria; Pseudomonadati; Pseudomonadota; Gammaproteobacteria; Enterobacterales; Enterobacteriaceae.